CGGUGGGAGUGAGCGGUGGAGAACAGGAUGUUGCUUCCAGCGAUGACAUCCCAAGAGAGGAAACAGCUGCAGAAAGAAGGGACAGAGCCUGAGAUGCCGGGUCUGGAGCUGAAGAUUUGGGAUGAAGCAUGAGUUUGGCACAUGAACGGCCUCGGAAGGAAUUCCAAGGGCAAUUCCGUCUUUCUGCUACCUUUGCCCAGGAGGAGGAAGGUUAGGAUACAAACUCAUCCCAUGGAGAAGAGUGUAUAGCAGCGAGUAUUUGGGAACCACCAGCUCCAGCUGCUGAGCACCUCCCAGUGGAUAAAUCCCACUGUGGGGUAGGAGGUGUCCCAGUCCCUGCCUGAUGCCCCAUGAAGUCUCCAUGGAAGCUGCUCCAUAAAGAAUGGGGCACACCUGGAGGGAGCUGGUUUUCAAUGGAGCCACCAUUUAUGGGUGUGGUUAUGGAAAUUGUUCUCUCUGGAUCCACGGAAGAGGGUUGUUGGGCCUCACGGGAAUGGAGCAGUCAGAGUCUGGAUCAGCCCCUUCCUGAGGGACAAUAUUCCCAAGAUUUGUGGUGGGGAAGGUGGGUGUUUAAAUCAGAUCCUUGCUCCUUGCCUGAUCUCCACAGCCCUGGAAUGUGUCACACCUGGCAGGGUGAGUGGUUGGAUUCCCACCUCGCUCCCAGCUGGAUUUAGGGAGGUGAGAGAAUGUCCAGCUGAGGGGGUCCCUUAUUAAUCCUUUAACUAAACUCCAAAAAAGAGCAAAUCCCAUCAGAUUCCCCAAAAUGCUGCAGGCUCGGAGGAUCCUGGGGCAGGAUUUAGAAUGGUAGGAUUGGAGGGAAUAUCUGGAAGAGGAGGAACACCCUUUUCUUCCCUCUGCUUCUUCCAAGUGUCGCCAAGUGGAAAAGUCCAAAGGGUUUUGUCUUUCCAAGCACUCACUUAAUGGGUUUGGAAUGACUUCGGAACUGUUCCUCUCCGACCAAAAAUAACCCCAAACAUUCCCCGUUCUGCCCACCCCUCCCAGGCCUCAUGACUUUAAAAGGAUUUGUGCCUUGAGAAAACAAACCCGGAUGAAUUCCCAUCGGUGGAGACCAUUCCAAAGGUCUGCGUCUCCUCCUCCCUGCUCCACGGAAAACCACGGCCUUGGCCAGGGCUGGAAGAAGAGCCAUUCAUAAGUUUGAUUUCCCAAAUGGAAUCCUGAGGAGUGCUCUCAGCCAUUCCUAAAUGAGCUCUGUGCGGAUUCUGCUCCCCUGGCAUGUGCCAGGAUAUCCAUGGAGAGCCGCACAAUGUUCUCGGCACAUUUUUGGGGUGGCCUUGUAACCAGGGGAUGUCUGGUAAAAGGAUGGCCUCAGCAGUGGGAUAAUCCACAUCUGGAAAUUCCCAGUUUUCCCAAAAUUUUCCACUCAGUGCUUGGGAGAGAGAUUUUGAGUCAGGAGAUGCGGCCUCACCUUUUUGUCCCUGAAGUUGCGUUUGAAAGGAUGGUUUGGGGGACAGGAAUGGCUUUGGAACUGCUUGAGGAAGGAAAGGAUGGCUUUGGGAAUUCCUUGGGGCUAGAAAGGAUGGGUUUUGGAAUUCCUUGGGGUUUGAGAGGAUGGCUUUUGGAAUUCCUUGAGGGUUAAAAGAGUCGGAAAUGAGGCUCUCUAUGGAUUAAAAGGGUCGUUUUCUGCCAGAGCACAGAAAUCUUCCCCUUGUUUGGUUUUCCUGAAAAUGUUGGCAGAGAAGUGCCCAAAACUCUUCUCUUUGGUGGGUUUUGUUUUGGAGAAUCCCAGAAUGGUUUGGAUUGGGAAGGACCUUAAAGAUCCUUUAGAUCCAAAUCCAUGGGGUGUUCAUAGUUCCGUGGUUUGUAAUUGUUAAAAUAGUGCUGAUUUUCUUCCAUUCUUCUUUGGCACUCCGGGGUUUUAUUGGGAUUUUGAUGAUAAAAUGAGAGCAGAAACAGAUUUGUUUUUUGAGAAAUCACAUUUUUUUUCAGGAAAGGCAGAGGGGAAAAACCAUUUUCAACUCCAAAAUGAUCCCAAAUUCCAGGUUCUACUGAUUAAAUUCUGGUGUUAUCUUGUACAGAUGAACACAACGUACAAAGAUUCCCAGCACCUUGUUCUGGGAAUUUUCCUGGCUGGGAAAAUUUCCUUGCUGUUUUUGGCUGGAGCUCCCUCACCUUCCUCUUCCUGGAUGGUCCUGUAAUUUAUGACUUAAUUUAGGAGCAGGACUUUUCCUGGAGUUUCCUGU
Molecule: long non-coding RNA, 2201 nt
Organism: Passer domesticus (house sparrow)
Lineage: Eukaryota; Metazoa; Chordata; Aves; Passeriformes; Passeridae
Exons: 3
Source: RefSeq, a predicted model, not a curated record